This 389-nucleotide ribosomal RNA is filed under the name uncultured bacterium. RNAcentral describes it as "bacterial SSU rRNA". It matches the Rfam family "Bacterial small subunit ribosomal RNA", at positions 28 to 420 of the family's 1533-position model. The record is from RNAcentral.
GACGAACGCUGGCGGCGUGCUUAACACAUGCAAGUCGAGCGGUAAGGCCCUUCGGGGUACACGAGCGGCGAACGGGUGAGUAACACGUGGGUGACCUGCCUUUAGCUCUGGGAUAAGCCUGGGAAACUGGGUCUAAUACCGGAUAUGACCUCAUGACGCAUGUUGUGGGGUGGAAAGCCUUGUGCGGCUAGAGAUGGGCCCGCGGCCUAUCAGCUUGUUGGUGGGGUGANGGCCUACCAAGGCGACGACGGGUAGCCGGCCUGAGAGGGCGACCGGCCACACUGGGACUGAGACACGGCCCAGACUCCUACGGGAGGCAGCAGUGGGGAAUCUUGCGCAAUGGGCGAAAGCCUGACGCAGCGACGCCGCGUGAGGGAUGACGGCCUCGG